UACAGGGGGGGCAAGCGUUGUUCGGAAUUACUGGGCGUAAAGGGCCUGUAGGCGGCCAACUAAGUCCGACGUGAAAUCCCCAAGCUUAACUUGGGAACUGCGUCGGAUACUGGAUGGCUUGAAUUCGGGAGAGGGAUGCAGAAUUCCAGGUGUAGCGGUGAAAUGCGUAGAUAUCUGGAGGAAUACCGGUGGCGAAGGCGGCAUCCUGGACCGAGAUUGACGCUGAGGAGCGAAAGCUAGGGGAGCAAACGGG
RNAcentral lists this ribosomal RNA (253 nucleotides) under uncultured bacterium. Its description in RNAcentral is "partial 16S ribosomal RNA". It matches the Rfam family "Bacterial small subunit ribosomal RNA", at positions 524 to 776 of the family's 1533-position model. The record is from RNAcentral.